This 292-nucleotide ribosomal RNA is filed under the name uncultured bacterium. RNAcentral describes it as "partial 16S ribosomal RNA". It matches the Rfam family "Bacterial small subunit ribosomal RNA", at positions 505 to 796 of the family's 1533-position model. The record is from RNAcentral.
GUUUCAGCCGCCGCGGUAAGACGAACCGUGCGAACGUUGUUCGGAAUCACUGGGCUUAAAGGGCGCGUAGGCGGCAGCGUUAGUCCGGGGUGAAAGCCCCCAGCUCAACUGGGGAAGGGCCUCGGAUACUGCGUUGCUCGAGGGAGGUAGGGGUCGAGGGAACUUCUGGUGGAGCGGUGAAAUGCGUUGAUAUCAGAAGGAACGCCGGUGGCGAAAGCGCUCGACUGGACCUUUUCUGACGCUGAGGCGCGAAAGCUAGGGGAGCAAACGGGAUUAGAUACCCCCGUAGUCC